Zea mays is the source of this 651-nucleotide RNA transcript. It is a transcript of the gene named arogenate dehydratase/prephenate dehydratase pseudogene, with no coding region annotated. The record is from RefSeq and is a predicted model, not a curated record. The transcript has a single exon. NCBI's taxonomy places the organism in Eukaryota, Viridiplantae, Streptophyta, Magnoliopsida, Poales, Poaceae.
AUGGAUGCCGUAGCUGUGCUCGACGCCUUCUCCGCCGCGCCAUGGCACCAGCUCCGCCCAACAGCUUGGUGCAGAUCCACGCGCUUCGCGUCACAGGCGUGCCACGCCACCGCCCCAUUCGCUCGCGACGACUGGCAGGCCGCCUGCGCCAUCCACGCUAGCAACAGCACGGGCGGUGACGGCCACGAUGCCAGCAGCAACACGCAGCCAGCGCCACGGGUCAACGGCCAGAAGCCCUCGCCAGCCCUAGAGGCGACGCCGACGCUAAUGCCGGACGAGCUAGAUCUGGUGCUCGUGUCCAACCUCCCCAGGCCGCUCAGCAUCAACGACCUGUCCCCGGCGCCCAUGCACACACCGCAGCUCCGCGUGGCAUACCAGGGCGUCCCGGGCGCCAACAGCGAGGCGACCGCCGCCAAGGCCUACCCGGGCUGCGAUGCCAUCCCCUGCGACCAGUUCGAGGUGGCCUUCCAGGCCGUCGAGCUCUGGAUCACUGACCGCGCCGUGCUCCCCAUGGAGAACCCCCUUGGCGGCAGAAUCCACCGCAACUACGACCUCCUCCUCCGGCACCGCCUCCACAUCGUCGGGGAGGUCCAGCUCCCCGUCCACCACUGCCUCCUCGCGGCUGUGGCGGGUGUGGCGGCCAUGGCGUGA